This 24-nucleotide non-coding RNA is filed under the name Cricetulus griseus (Chinese hamster). The record is from RNAcentral. Lineage: Eukaryota; Metazoa; Chordata; Mammalia; Rodentia; Cricetidae.
GUAAUGGAAUAAAGGACGCAUGGA